Cephalotus follicularis is the source of this 107-nucleotide small nucleolar RNA. It matches the Rfam family "Plant small nucleolar RNA R71". Rfam says of the family: R71 is a member of the C/D box family of snoRNAs containing the C (UGAUGA) and D (CUGA) box motifs. Multiple nearly identical copies of this snoRNA have been identified in Arabidopsis, and it is thought to function as a 2'-O-ribose methylation guide for 18S ribosomal RNA. NCBI's taxonomy places the organism in Eukaryota, Viridiplantae, Streptophyta, Magnoliopsida, Oxalidales, Cephalotaceae. The record is from Rfam.
AAACCAUGAUGAGGACACUCUAAAACAAGGUCUUUGAAACGUUCCAUACACCUAGAAAAUGAUUCACUGGGUUUUUGACGAAACUAGAGAAUGUCGUUCCUAAGUUU